Molecule: long non-coding RNA, 352 nt
Organism: Fukomys damarensis (Damara mole-rat)
Lineage: Eukaryota; Metazoa; Chordata; Mammalia; Rodentia; Bathyergidae
Exons: 3
Source: RefSeq, a predicted model, not a curated record
CCCGGCUCAAGAGGUGGAUUUGAAUUAUCUUCUACCGGACAUUCAUUUUGCCUGGGAAAUGAGUGUCCAGUGUCUUGUCCAGGGCGUCUUGGCAACUUAAGACCUGUACUAGGACAGACAUGUGGCAGUCGGGCAUGGGCCUCAACUGUGGCUUAUCUCUGCCAGGAGCUUGGGGCAUGGACAAAGUGACAUCAGACAAGUACAUGCACAGUGGUGCGAGCCCAUGAAAACACAGAGAGAAGACAGCCAUCUGUAAGCCAAGUGGGGAGGCCUCAGAAGAAACCAAACCGGCCAGCUCCCUGAUCUGCAACUCCCAGCCUCCAGCACUGUGAGAAAAUAAACUGAUAUUGUU